UGCCCCAUGGCUGAGUUGGUUACAGCGUCCGACUGUUAGACUUAUGCGUUACAUUAUCGGAAGGUCGAGAGUUCGAGCCUCUCUGGGGCAG
Molecule: non-coding RNA, 91 nt
Organism: Armillaria nabsnona
Lineage: Eukaryota; Fungi; Basidiomycota; Agaricomycetes; Agaricales; Physalacriaceae
Source: the annotation of a GenBank genome assembly